Molecule: ribosomal RNA, 598 nt
Filed under: uncultured archaeon
Lineage: Archaea
Description: bacterial SSU rRNA
Rfam family: Archaeal small subunit ribosomal RNA
Source: RNAcentral
UUGGUUGAUCCUGCCGGACCUGACUGCUAUCGUGAUUGGUACUAAGCCAUGCGAGUCGUUGUACAAUACAAGGCGGACUGCUCAGUAACACGUAGUUAACUUAACCUAUGGAUGGGAAUAACCUCGGGAAACUGAGAAUAAUACCCAAUGGGCCACAGUGCCUGGAAUGGCCUGUGGUUGAAAUGAUUUAUCGCCGUAGGAUAGGACUGCGGCCUAUCAGCUUGUUGGUGAGGUAAUGGCCCACCAAGGCUAUAACAGGUACGGGCUCUGAGAGGAGGGGCCCGGAGAUGGGUACUGAGACACGGACCCAGGCCCUAUGGGGCGCAGCAGGCGAGAAACCUUUGCAAUGUGCGAAAGCACGACAGGGUUAAUCCGAGUGUCUCCUGCUAAAGGAGUCUUUUGUCAGUUGUAGAAUCACUGGUGAAUAAGGGGUGGGCAAGUUCUGGUGUCAGCCGCCGCGGUAAAACCAGCACCUCGAGUGGUCAGGAGGUUUAUUGGGCCUANAGCAUCCGUAGCCGGUUGCAUAAGUUUUCGGUUACCUCUAUGCGCUUAACGUAUAGGCCGCCGAAAAUACUGUGCAGCUAGGGAGUGGGAGACG